This 113-nucleotide ribosomal RNA is filed under the name Desulfotignum sp. RNAcentral's name for it is "partial 16S ribosomal RNA". It matches the Rfam family "Bacterial small subunit ribosomal RNA", at positions 1 to 109 of the family's 1533-position model. The record is from RNAcentral. Lineage: Bacteria; Pseudomonadati; Thermodesulfobacteriota; Desulfobacteria; Desulfobacterales; Desulfobacteraceae.
UAACUGGAGAGUUUGAUCCUGGCUCAGAAUGAACGCUGGCGGCGUGCUUAACACAUGCAAGUCGAACGAGAAAAAGAUUGCUUGCAAUCUUGAGUAGAGUGGCGCACGGGUGA